GCCUGGGUGGCUCAGUCGGUUAAGCAUCGGACUUCGGCUCAGGUCAUGAUCUCACGGUUCAUGGGUUCGAGCCCCAUAUCAGGCU
RNAcentral lists this transfer RNA (85 nucleotides) under Felis catus (domestic cat). It matches the Rfam family "tRNA". Rfam says of the family: Transfer RNA (tRNA) molecules are approximately 80 nucleotides in length. Their secondary structure includes four short double-helical elements and three loops (D, anti-codon, and T loops). Further hydrogen bonds mediate the characteristic L-shaped molecular structure. tRNAs have two regions of fundamental functional importance: the anti-codon, which is responsible for specific mRNA codon recognition, and the 3' end, to which the tRNAs corresponding amino acid is attached (by aminoacyl-tRNA synthetases). tRNAs cope with the degeneracy of the genetic code in two manners: having more than one tRNA (with a specific anti-codon) for a particular amino acid; and 'wobble' base-pairing, i.e. permitting non-standard base-pairing at the 3rd anti-codon position. Lineage: Eukaryota; Metazoa; Chordata; Mammalia; Carnivora; Felidae. RNAcentral also lists the same sequence under 3 other names. The record is from Rfam by way of RNAcentral.